Procambarus clarkii (red swamp crayfish) is the source of this 1818-nucleotide non-coding RNA. Lineage: Eukaryota; Metazoa; Arthropoda; Malacostraca; Decapoda; Cambaridae. The record is from RefSeq and is a predicted model, not a curated record.
GACACUUCAACAUGUAGUGUAGGAACCGGUUGGGUGUGUGGACUCGCCCUAGCCAUAUAGAGGGACUAGAGGGUCUCUGUAGACACUUCAACAUGUAGUGUAGGAACCGGUUGGAUGUGUGGGUUCACCCUAGCCACAUAGAGGGACUGGAGGGCCUCUGUAGACACUUCAACAUGUAUGUUAGGGACCACUUGACGGAUAGAACCAACACAGUCCACCAGUUGCAGUUCUUGGCCCCAGAAGUUUGCCAGUUCUUGGCAGGUAUAACACGAUAGCUUAACUGUAUGUUGCGUAGAUUAUUACUGGUGAUAAAACUUGGUUUGUUAGAAUGAAUACUCUAGACGUCUGAUCUUGUUAGCGGUUGCUAUGGUUUUUUUCAGUAGUUCUUAGCAUUAAUUACUAAGCCUCUAGCACUUAAGCACAAGACUUCGUUCAUUUCUCCCAUUUUUUUUUUUGCAAUGCCAUUGCAGUAUUAAAGCAAUGGGGCGGAUAUGGUUGGGCUACAUCCAUAAUUAGUGCCCGACACUAGAUUUAAAUUAGUUUUUUUUGAGCAACUUCAAUUUAGAUUUUCUUAAUCGUCUAAUUGCCGUCGUCAGGCUUGAGUCAUCAAACUGAUAAGGAAUUGAUGCUGGAAAUAGAUUUAGCUGCUGCAGUUUUUUGUAAAAUCUAUCUUAUCACUAAUUUCCAGUUCCUCAGACGGAUAUCCAGACCUCUGUGAAUUGCCUGUCUGUUCCAACUACAGACACAGCUUGUCUGGAACUGCAGGUAACUUAGACGUUAACUUUUAACUUCACGUAUUGCCAAUCUGACCAAAUUAGGAAUGUAAACAAUGAACUACGAAGUGUCUGUUAACAGGGCAGUUCCUGUGUGGCUACAGACCCACAGAUGGAAGCCCACAGGAGUACGUGUAAGGAACGUCUUUUCGCUUCCAUUGGUGACUUCCCUGAACUAAUGCACUACAUUGGUAAGUUAUUUUGUCUUAUAGAUGGUAAGCAAAUUUUCCAAAUAUUUAUUUAGGUUUAUAAAUUCAAAUGUAUGUUGGAUCUUUUUCUCUUUUUCGAAGAUUCUUGCUCCGUCGAUCUGUGUGAUGUACACGAGCGGCGCCAGUGAGGGUGUGAUAGACGACUGACUUCAGAACCUGGUGGACAUAGUGAAGGUGGCUGGCCGGCUGCUGCAUCUGGCUGGGAAGGGGAGUGGUGCUGGUAGAGAUAGUUAUAGCCCCUAUGCUCCUGUGCCAGGGAAGAAUACAGAAAUAACGGUGAACGUGACUGUGCCAGAAGCCUCGAUUGAAGUCACCGUCUUCACGACGGGACACACAGUACUUCGGGACACUACUACCGUGCUUACCAGUCUCGCGGAAGGUUACGACACUGUCCUCGCCUCUUACGGUGAUGUAGACUAUCCAGUGACCUCUACGGUAGCUGCUGUAGCACCUACAAUACCCCAGUCUGCAGCUACGAUUGUAUUAUUUGGGAACUAAGUGGGCCUAUUCUUCCCUAGUCUUUUUUUUUCCCCCCUAACAAAUGUUUGGAUCGACAUGUCCUUUUUUUUUCAAAAAUAUCAAACAUAAAGAAUUUAACUUGUGGAAUUUUUUUGUUUAUUUAUUAGUGCUCUUGUAAUUUAUUUUGGGCAAGUUUCUUAAUUUGGAAACUUGAUGGUAUAUUUUAAUAAAAUAUUGACAUUUAGGCUAAACGGUCAUUGGGUAAUGAAAUUCAGAAUUAAUUCUGUUUUAAAAGAUUUUUGGAAUUCAUAUAACAGAAGUUCUCUGCAAAAUGUAUUAACUUGCUUUUUACUGUGCAAUUAAAAUCUUAGAUCAUU